UCUAUAUUUUUUACAAAUAUUUUUUUUCCUUUUCCCGUUUUCCUGCAGGAUUUCUUCCUGUGCUUUCAGUUAUUUUUAAUUAUUUUUACAGUUUCUGAACUUUACAACAUGAAACCAUUUAAUAUAAUUUUCCUGGUACCCUUACUGCCAGAUUCUCACCUUUUUAUUGUUAUUAUUACAAUUUUUUACUGGUUUGUUAAAUUAGUGUUUGAUUGUUUGCAUAAUGCAGCACAUUAAUAAUUAAUAACAUCAGUUUUAAUUCUCUAACAUCAGUGUUUUUGGUUUUUGCUUGUUCUGCUCGUCUCUGGAAAUCAUUCAGCUUUAGAUAGAGUUUAGAACUUUAACUUUUUUCCAUCUUGUGGUUGAAUUUAAUUUCUACUAAUAAUAGAAACACGAUGAAGUCUAAGAAAAGAAGUUCUUCCAGGAGAGACGAUGACUCAAGAACCGGGAAGGUAGACGAAGGUCCCACAGGUCCGAGGGUCCAGACACAAUGUGUGAUUUAUCAGCGAUCAUGUUAAAUGAAUAAAUACGGGAGCUGGGAUCAGGGCUUCCCUCAGAGGUUGAAGGAGGAAGACGAGGGCUGAACAGACUUCCCUCAUAGCAACAGGAAGCAGAAACAAAACGUGAUUUCAUUCCAGAAACUCUCCGUUUCCAGGUGGAGUUCUGAUCUAAAAGUGUGAUUGAUUAAUUCCACUGACACUCGGUGACUCAGAGAUCCAAUCACAGGGUUUAAUCUGUAGAUGAGUUUAGAACCUGAAGCUGCUGUCAGUCGGUGACACACAGAGAAACCAUCAAAGUGAAACAUCGACGCUGUGGCUCCUGGUUUCCGUCAUGAGAGGGUGUGGUUGGUGGAUGAAUGGGUGGAGGGGAUGUGACAGAGGGACAGGAAUUCUGUGUUCACGCUGUAAAAACACAGUUAUCAGCCCAGCGUUGGUAGCUUCUCUGCCAGCGUGGAUUUAAUCCAACAAACACUUCUCUGGACUUCCAACACAACAAACCAGGAAUUAGCAAAUGUUUUCUGUGACGUCCCUCUCUAAUGUCGGCUCCAGGAGAGUCGUAAAGAUUUCCCUCUUAAAUCAGUGCCUGAUCCGAUCUUUCCAGGCUGGACUUUAAUUUGAACAGAAACCUGAUUGGAGUCAGCAGCAUCCUCCCUGCAGACCAGUCAGUGACGGAGCUUAUUAACCAGUCGAGACACUUGUACUUUAGUGUUUCCAUUUGAUGCUACUUAUCAGAAUAUUUCUGCUCCACUACUCUCUGGAAGCCAGUGUUUUACCCAAAAAGCUCCAUGUUUAGCAGCAUUAAAGUGAUGCACACCAAUUCAUUUAGAGCUUAAAAUUAAAGAGCUUUAAAUGAACCGCCUCAUCUAGAAACAAUCACUAAAUACUUAAAGCUAAAGACUUUAGGAUCAUUUUCCAGAACUGGAGGACAUCUGGGCUUCUGAAUGUUAAAAAUCAAGCUUCUCUAUUCCAGUUUUCAGCUCCAUAUUGAUCAGUAAUAGGCACUGAUUGGCUCAACUUCCACAUGGAAAGUUUAUGAUCUACAAGCAUUAUUGCUUACUAAUUAUGUGAAAGCACUACAGAUUAUGUGCAACAUUAGAACAUGUGUUGCUUAGUACCUGUGAUCAAAAACCUUUGAUAUUUAUAGCCUUUUAAUGACCUUGUUAAGCUGCUCUGGGUCUCUGAUGACCUCUUGAGAAACCUCAUAAGGUAGAGAAUGUAGGAAAGGAAAGUACGGUUUGUUCAAGACAGACGUGUUACCUUUGAUUGAACCUGUCUGACCAUAUGUCUUAAACGGACUGCUGUCUGAGGUGUUAAAACCAGCGUAGCAUUUCUGGGAAACAGUUUAUAUAUAAAUCCGCUUUUGGAAGAAGCCUUUACUUUGACUGUUGGGUUUUUUCCCAUGUGCAGACGUGGAUGUACACUGAGCAGACCUGCUGAAGAAUGAGUCUAUAAUUAGCAGAUAUAAUUCACUGUAUAUCCCAUAGACUGCUCUGCUCUCUGUGGGAUUUUGUACCUUUGAAGCUUUAAAUAAAACACAAAAACAACUUGUGAUUGUCAAUAGGUUUAUUUCUUCAACUUGGGCAACUGAUACAGAAUUUUCCACAUCAAUGGUAGCAUUUUUAUUCCAUGUUUCUGUGUUGUUGCUAACCCUCCUCUAAUCCAUGCUAAUGUGAUCUUUUUCUCAGCAGUAGAAGCUAGAUAUUUAGCUAGCUGUUACUGCUGACCAAGAGGACAAACUGAUUUAUGUCACACACGUUUCAAGUCCACUCAGUUUUUCUGUUUUCACGGUUUUUGCCUCUGAUACAUGGGGUGAUUUUUGACAUGUCUUACAGGUGGGUUUGAGGUUCAGAGGGUUAAAUUACGUCAUCACCACUUCUGAGAAACAUGUUUUUGAAAUUAUUGCUGGAAAGUGACUUGAAAAAGUAUUUGAUUACCAAAAUAGCUGCAGAUGGACGUCCUGUCAGUGAUGAACUGUUCCUGCUCUGAAUGCAUCAUUAGCAUGCUGUGUAGAAUUCUAAAAUGGAACUUUUAGCUUUGAAUCUCUGAAUAUAUUUUGCUGCUAAAACUUCCUUGCUGUCCGUUCAGUGAAUAUUUAAAAGCAGAGCUUGUAGCAGCACAUUUACACACUGUGUUAUGCUUCUUUUCCUUUAAUAAAAACCUGAUUAGAUCCUCCGGCGCUGCUUUCAACCUUCGGCCCUAAUCGACCCUGAAGGUCUCGUCAGCUUCCUGCUACCAGCGAAACGUUUAGUCGUCCAGCUGAACGUUCAGGUCAACUUCUUCAUCCUGCAGCUGGUUUUCAGGAAAAGACAGAACAGACAGAAGGUGAUAAAACUACACAUUAUACAGGAAAGGAGUCUAAAAUCCCAUUAGAUCCUGGUGUUUUUGUCCAGGCGGAGACAUUUAAACUCUGUUCUAUACUUUUGCAUCAUUUCUUUAACUCAUGAAAACAUAAUUACUGUUUAACCAGCAGAUUGUGCUCAAAUGUCUGAGUCCUCAUUGGAUUUACUGAAACAGAAGGAUUUACUGUCAACCCUUCAGCUGGGAGAUAAAAAAGGAAUCUAUAAGUGUUUUGCAGUCAGAAGAACCUACAAAUGAUCCUUCUAAAUAUGCCAUCAGAUUCAGCAGUCUACUGCGUUUUCAGAGCUGAUAAUGUGCUUAAAGGAGCAGUAGAGUUGAGCUCAUAGUUUAAAUGUUCUGGUUUCAGUAAAGGACAGAAACUUCAGGGAGUGGUCCAAGAACUCGGAUGACUUCAUUCACAUUUCAUGUUUUGUGCGUUAAAGCUGAGAUGAGUUCAUGUGUUCUUUGGCCUCACUUGGCUCCAGUUCUGCUGGGUUUGACUCAUUUUCUGUGCAGAAAACAUUGAACUGACGGUUUAACGAGCCUUUAAAUGUCUAAACCUCACUGUGAUUCUAAUUCACUACAAUGAAGCCGUAGAUUUAUAGUUUAUUUAACUUUGACCUGGAAAUAGCAACAGACACAAACAGAUGUGAUUUUUUGAAGUUUCAAAUAAAAUCCUGGUGUCCAGCCUCAGAUUUAGUUGGAGAAAAUUUACAUCAAUAUAGAAAGAAAAAUCUGGGAGAAUUAAGUCUUUAAUGGACAACAUUUUAGCCACUGCAGUCUGAAGUUUUUGAAUUUCCUGCUGCCUUUAAGUGGAAUUCAAGCGAUUACAAAAUGAAACUGCUUCACUUUCAGGUCUGAACAUCAGCGGAGUCAUGAAAACAUCUCUACCACGUCCUAACCCUGAACUUAAACCUAACCCCAACACCUAACCUAAGCCCUAGACCCUAGACCUUAACCCUAACCAUAAACCCUUCCCCUAAACCCUAACCCUAAACCUUACUAACCGUGUCCAACAUGGACGCUACUCUCAAUUUAAUGAAGUCUCAGAGGAAAGCCAUUUAUUAAGUUAACAGGUAAAGUAAUGUAGGAAAUGCCAAAUGAAUGCAGAAUGAAAAGACCUUCAUUUUCUGUCCCUCAUUUUCCUUUCACAGAAUAAUCCUGACUGAAAAGUGAACCUCAAACGCCAAAACUGGAGAACUUUGAGCUUCUAUGAUGGCAUCAAUGAAAGUUCAAAGUUAAAAACAUUCCAAACUCCACCUCCUCCUCCAUAGCUGAUCUUUCUAACAUGUUUUCUUAACCUCCAGCCUGACGUGAAGCUUCACGUCUCCACCAGCUCUCAGAGGAAACAGGAGUUUUUUUUCUCCACUGGAUGAGUAUGAAAGAAAGGAGAGCUGAGGUUCAUUCAGACAUGACCUCAACACUCACGUGAUGGUAUCUUCAGGAACAGACGACAGUCAUGACACGCCUCCAGGAACCAGCGAUCCUACGUAGAGUUUAUUCAGAUAGACUCAAAGUUUAUUCUGGGCCACCCAGAGGAACGGACUUUGGGAGGCACCCAAAGACCUCCAGAUGACAACCAGAUGACCUUUAAAAUUCCUGCCAGGGAGCAGUUGGUCUUUGAUCACAGGACUUUGUGAUGCUACCUUGGACUGGUUUAUGUCCUACCUCUCUGGAAGACCGAGUACGUCAUUCUGGGAGGAGCUAAGUCCCAGACACUUCCUGGUGACCCAAGAGUUCGUCCUGUUGUUCUCCCCUCAGCCGUGUCUUCAGCUGGCAUGGAAUCUCUUUCCAUUGAUGACACACUGCUUUAUCUCAGGACACCUUAAUCCCAUCUGCUCCCCCGCCGUCUUCAUCAUCACCAACUUCAUCAGCGCUGUCCAUCCUGAUCACCUGCUUUGAGGAGACUAAGGUCUGGAUGAGUCCAAACUUUCUCCAAAACUGAAUCCAUUCUUGUCCCUCAUCUGGUCCAGUCCUCCUCCAGAACCACCACCUUCUCCAGACCACACAUUCUCCUCUCAUCAGCAGUUACCAUCCUGACAUUUAACAACCACAUCAAACAUCUGUCUUUGUUUUUCCACCUCUAAAACAUCACCAAACUCUGCCCCACCCUCACCCUUUCUGAUGCAGAGGAACUUGUCCGGCCUUUGUCUCCUCCAGGAUGGACUGCUGCAGCACACUUCUCAUCAGGAUCUCAGGAAGAUCCUGCAGAAGCUCCAAUAUGUUCAGAACAAUGAUGUCUCUAAAAACACCAGAGAAUCUUCAAGGCAUUCUGUUUGCUGGACACUCAUGGUGGAAACGAUGCGCUGCUCAUAAAGAUUUAACAGCUAUGGAGAGAAGGAUCGUGGUUGGUCCAAAAAGAUCAGUGGUUCCUUCUUCAUCAGCGGUUUCCUUCUUCAUCAGUGGUUCCUUCUUCAUCAGCGGUUCCUUCCUCUUCAGU
Molecule: long non-coding RNA, 5277 nt
Organism: Acanthochromis polyacanthus (spiny chromis)
Lineage: Eukaryota; Metazoa; Chordata; Actinopteri; Pomacentridae
Exons: 3
Source: RefSeq, a predicted model, not a curated record